RNAcentral lists this long non-coding RNA (1347 nucleotides) under Homo sapiens (human). RNAcentral's name for it is "long non-coding RNA NONHSAT175721.1". The record is from RNAcentral. Lineage: Eukaryota; Metazoa; Chordata; Mammalia; Primates; Hominidae.
AAAGGGAACUGGGCGUUUGCCGCAGGGAAAAGUAAGGUGUUUCUGCUCUCGCGCCAUAUGCAGUUCCCGCGGGAUCUCGUUGAGGGCGGGGCACCCAGUUCCUUACGAAAGGGAUGGAGGGGGUGGUACUUCUAAAGUUGGCGGUGUUUCGUACCGGCCGCGGGAUUUCGCGGACUGGGGCGCUGAGGUUCUUUGAGCGGCGUGUGGACCUGAAUUCCCUGGAAACAGGCUGGGGCCGCGAGGGGCCUCCGCUCCGGGCGGGGUCCCCAGAUAGCCCCGCCUCGAAUAAAAAUGACGAGCACGGGUCCUCUCUCGGGCCCGCAGUGGGUGGACUGCGUCGCAGACCCGUAGUGGAGGCGCCCAGCUCGCCGGGGAGAUUCGAGUGGAAACCCUCACGGCCGCCGGUGGUGGGCCCCGGCGCGGCGCUGGGCUCCGGCGGGUCUGCGCUGGGGAGGGCCAGGGCCCCUGAAGCCGGCGUCCCUCUUAGGGGACGCGCCUGGGUGUGUCUUCACCGUUUGCCUGGUGAGUUGGAGACAGGGUCUCGCUCCGUCGCCCAGGCUGGAGUGCAGUGGUAGGAUCAGGGUUCAUUGUAGCCUCCGCCUCAGCCUCUGGAGUAGCUGGGACCUCAGGCGCGCGCCACCACGCCCGGCUAAUUUUUUAAAUUUUUUUGUAGAGACGGGGUUGGGGGAGGCGGGGGUUAGGGUUGUCCUGGCUGGUCUUGAACUGCGGGGCCUCAGGUGAUCCGCCUGCCUUGGCCUCCCAAAGUGCUGGGAUUACAGGCAUGAGCCACUGUGCCCGGCAAGCAGCUGUUAUAAAUAAAAUACAUGCUGAGCCUGCAAUUUGCUCUUAAUGAAGGCCACUUGUCAGUAGACGGUGCUGCUAAUGCGUGUCCUGCAGCAAAGAUAACCCAGACGGGAUCAUUUUUUAAUUGCCCAGCAGAACUUUAACCAGUUGUGCAUCUUAACCUGCUUUUUGUUUGUUCGUUUGUUUGUUUUGAGACAGUCUGGCCCUGUCGCCCAGGCUGGAGUGCCAUGGCGCGAUCUCGGUUCACUGCAGCCUCCACCUCCCGAGCACAGGCGAUCCUCCCGCCUCAGCCUCCAGAGCACCUGGGACCACAGGUGUCCACGCGCAGCCACUAACCGCUUUCUUAUCUGACACUUUAAGUGCUUCUUCGUACCCAGCUCCUCUAACGCCUUUUGAAGCAGCUCCAUCAUCUUUGAAGGGCAGUUCAUGCUGUUGAGAAUCAUGUUUUUAACUUUGGGAAAAUUGUAUUUCCACGAGCGCCAGCUCUGUCCUUUUUUUUUUUUUUUUUUUUUUUUUUUUUUGACGGAGUCUUGCUCGGUUCGC